CGGCGCCCGGAGCCUCGGCACCUCCGCGCCGGCUGCUGCGGGCCCGGCCUGCCGGCGUCCCCGGGACCCGCGCCCGGAGGGGCGGUCGGGAGGUGUGGACGGCCCUGCCCGGGACAGCUCCGCGUGACCUUGGGCCGAGAGGGUUCCCCCCCCAGGCUCCGCGUGUGCCUGCGGGCGCCUGCUGCCGAGGUAGCGCGUCUCCCGGCUCUGAAGCGUGACGUCGCUGGAGAGGUCGCUCGGGCCUCUGUGGUGCCAGAGUCGGGAGCGCUAGGCCGCUCUGGAAAGUUGCUGUAGAAGAAAGGGGAAAAGGAAGACGCUGCUGGAGGAGAUCAGUAGCUCUGGAGACGAUGGAAGUUUACGUUUCUAAAUGGUAAUUGUUGAGCAGCCAGGAAAAGACUAGGAGAAAGAUGUGCUUAUGGUACCAGAUAAUAAGUUGUGUUUCAUCACAUAGCUCAGGGCCGGUACCUUCUACCCUCUUCCCUUUUCAACCACCUUACUUAGCACUUAUUUACAUACUUCACUGACUCACUUUGAGAGGAACUGACUGUGUGGUCGCUUAAAAGUUUUAAUCCUGGUUUUCAACUUUAGUAUCACUGACCCUCAACUUUCCAGAGUUUAAGAAUGUUUUACUGUCUCUCCCCUUAGUACCUAGUUUUGCAAUUGUUGAGGUUUCUAUCUGUGAUCCUAUAGGAAUGGAUUCAAUUCUAGAUUUGCUUUUUCUGAGGAUUUAUACUCAUUAUUUCCCAUCAGCUCACUUGUUCCAUAGAGCAGCCGAGUGAAGUAUUAUGAAAAUUACUGGACGUUUUCCUAUGAAGCACCUCAAAUCCUUCUCUUUCCACCUCUGGUCUCUCUUACACACCUAUUGCUAGGCUAGUCUUUGCUUUCAUUGUGUCAGUUUUCUAAAAUCAAAAUCCUUUCAUCAAAUUGAAUCUCUCCCAUCUGGUUUAUAGAUGAUUUUUUAAAAAUCCAGUGUCGGGCUGGGGAUUUAGCUAAGUGGCACUGCACCUGUCUUGCAAGCAAAAUGCCCUGAGUUUGAUCCCCAGUACCAAAAAAAGAAAAAAAACCAAUGUCCAGUCAUACUAGAAACUCUGCCUGUCCGUAGUUUCUGGGACAAGUGUGACAGCUUAUCUCAUUAGUGAUGUUUCCUCUUGAACCACUCAGAUACAACUUGUUCUUCAAUUUCUGACUCCUCCUUGGAGCUUCCCUAGAUGGUUAACCUCUUAAGGAUCUCACCCUGCUCUGAAUUUCUGUGGCAGCCCCUGCUAUUUGGUCAUUUAUAACAUACUCAUAAAGUCCUAAUAGUUUUCUAAAAGCUAGAACUCUUUAAGGUAUGAUGCUACAAUUUAGAGAAGCGUAACCCUUCAAAGUAUUUGUUAUGGCGAAGAAACCAUGUUUUUAAUACUCCUGUCAAGUUGAUGUGGGAGACCUGUCAGGAUUCUGUACCUUCCUGAUUGAGUAGUUCUGCUCUGUGAAUGGGAAGGGUUGGCCAGCUGCUCUUGACAGCCUCUUCUGAAGUUCUGGGACAACUUGGCCUUGCUUAAGGGAAAUGGGAUUGGGGCUCUUGCUGUGUUCUUGAGUGGAAUCGGUACAGACAUUCCAUAUCUUCAGCAUACAUUCUUUGCUGGAGAUUUCUAAUGCUAAACGUUAUUUUUUAAUUUUUCUGGCAAGCUUUUUAACCAUAAGAACUGGAGGAAGAUUUAAUAGGGGGCGAAUUAAUACUAAGAUGGUAUGUAUUGGGGACAGUAAAGCAUUAUGAUCCCUGGAAAUGACUUCCUAUAGUAGAAUAAAUAGGGCCAAUUACUGGAUAAGCUUUAAUCUUAAGCAAUUCUGAUUUAUAGUCAUCUCUCAGUGUUUGCAGGGGAUUGGUUCCAGGAUCCACCCUUCUGUGAAUGUUCAAGUCCUUUAUAUAAAGUGGCAGAGUAUUUGCCUAUAAGCUACACAUACCCUCCUGGAUACUUUUAAGUCAGCUCUAGAUUAUUAUACUUGCUGUAAUGUAAAUGCUUGUAAAUAGUUGUAUAAUAUAUUCUUUAAGGAAUAAUGGCAAUCAAAAAGGCUAUACAUGUUCAUUGCAAACAAUUUCAUAAAUAUUUUUUUAUUCCACUGUUGAGGCUCAGAUGUGAAAGCCAACUGUAUUAUGGAUUCCACUUUCAUUGAAUAAUGCUAUAAAAUAAUGAAAUUAUGGUUUUUUUAAUCAUUUCUUCACAUAAAAAGCCAUUAGGAUGUUCACAACUCUAGCUUAGAUGCUAAGUGACUUUCUAUUGUAAUCUGGUUGGUGAAAUGGCAUAAUUGUGUGUAUGUAUGUACAUAUUUCACAUGCACAUUAUGUUUAAAUGAAGGGUACCCUCAAAUUUUGAGAUGCUGUUAUACAUUGACCAGACUUUAAGAAUAUCUCUUUAAAGUGUAUUGACAUUUAAUUGACCUUUGAAAUUUCAUUCUGUUAAUCAUACUCAAAGUGCUAAAGCUAUGGUUGACUGCUCUGGUGUUUUUACAUUCAGUCGUGCUUAGCAUAUAAAUUCUUCAGCAUAAUUGCUACUUAUUUAGUAAAACUUUCCUUUCUUCUCUGGAAAUGUGAAUUGUGCUUGUAUUUUUGAGUCUGUUUUUUAAAGUUUGCUUCAGGCUGAAUAUCAUUAGAGGUCUGAAUUGAAAUGUUUUCCUGUCAUUAGUUGUAUGAGGUGUGGCUUCUUAAUAUAGAAGUAAUGGAAAUUUCUUGCUUAAAUGAAGAGUACUUUUAUUCCUGCAAAAGUUAGAACUCUAGGGCCGGGGAUUUAGCUCAGUGGUUUUGCCACCUAAUGCACAAGCGCAAGGACCCGAGUUUGAUCCCCGGUACCAAAACAAAAAAAAAAAAGUUAGAACUCUUUAAGAUACAAUGCUAAAAUUUAGAGAAGCUUAAUACUUCAAAACUAUGUUUUUCAACAUAAACUUUUACAAAUCUCUCAAUUCCAUUACUGUAGAUUAAAACUACCAGUGCUAAUACUUUUGUUAAAUAAGAAUUCAAGCAAACUAUUUUUAUAGAAGGCUAUAUUUAUAUUCCUUGAAUUGUUGUGAGUAAAAUUUUAUUUUAUUGUAAACAUAGUAUUUGCAAAAAAAAAAAAAAAAAGCUGAAAUAUGUUUCUUUUUUAAAUCUUAACAUUUUUACUACUAUCACCUAGACAUCAUCUGCUGAAAUGUUAUAAGGUUUCUGGGUCUUAAAUUUAUGAAAUCAGCAUUUGGAAGUAAUAUUUAAUGUACUUAUCUGUUUUAGAGGUUUCUAAUUUAAUAUUUCUAAUAACCGUGGAAAUGUUACUAAACUUUUUGCUUAAUUUUGACUUACAUUUAUCAUUUCUUGGAAUUACCUUUGAGACACCAGAUCUGUUUUUUGAACUUUUUACCUUAAAAAUAGUUAUCAAGUAGGAAAAUUUAAAUUUAAACCAGAGUUUUCUUUUUCAGGAGGUAAUUUUAUACUUUGCCAAUAUGUAGUUCCAUCUUUGAAAUGUAUUCUGGUCCAUUUGUGAACUCUGAUGUUAUUAUAUCAUUUACUUAUUCACACAUAACAAGUAUCUUAGUCCCACUGUCGUAGAACUCAUCUUAUUUUCUCAUUAAUAUUGCCCCAUCUUUUCUUUUUGUUUUUUUCUGUUCUCAUUAGAGCUGUUUCUUUUAUUUCAUUAUAGCCCCAUCUCCAAAUGAAAAAUAUAUCCUUUUCUCUUAGUCAAACAUUUAGCUUCAGAUUUGAUACUUUUUUAGAAUAUCCAAUAAAACAUCUUAAAUAAUAUCAUCUCCCUACGCAAAUCCUUACAGUGCUGAAUACAAGGACGCUCCAGAAUAACAGUGGCAAUUUCCAUUUUGUAAGCUACAGUUUCAGCUAAUAGACUUUUUCUUUCUGAGUAAUUAGUAUCUCUGGACUGUUACUGACUAAAUUUACUACUUUAAGAUAAAGUUUAAUCUCUUCAGAAAUCUUUCAUUAAGUCCAGAUAAGUCUAUUGGAUACAUGAUAGAGUAACAAAAUCAAAGUAGUUGCUGUUCUUUUAUUGUUUGAAGUGUACUUUGUCAUCAUAAAGAGCUUGCCUUCAUUUGGACCUGGGCAUAUGUAUUCACAGGUGGUUUAUUUUAUUUUAUUUAACAAAUUCUUGUACUUUCAUGUACCAAAUACUGUCCUAAACACUUUAUAAAUAUUAGUUUAUUUAAUCUUCUGAACUCAAUAGUAACAAAUAUCUUCAUUUUACAAUUGAGAAAACUAAGAAUUGCAGAUUUGCUUCACAUGCACACCUCCUCCUCAGGUUACAGAGGCAAUGUCACGCUCUUUUUCUGCCUGGAGCGUGUGUGCUUCAUACCAGGGGUGAGUGCCCAGGGAGUGGAAAAUUUCUCCCAUCUGCAUUUUGAGACUUGGGUGUGCUGCUUUAAGAUGCCACUGGUAUCUCAGUAAUGCUUGUUUAUACUGGAUCUUUUUCUCACAGUCUUCCUGAAUGGGACUUAUAAUACAAACAAUACUGUUAGCAGAACUGCAGGUACUCAAUUGCUAUGUUUAUUUUAGUAGUUAAAAAACUGCCAGAGCCCAAGGACUUCAUAACACAUUUUAAAAAUGCCAGAGGCAAUUUUUAAAAAUAGCUUAGAAACAAAGAAAAAAUAAGAGUUAAGACAUUGCAUGCUUUAGAGUGGUAAACAACGUGGUUGAUUCUUUCCCCUAAAGAUUCUAAAUAGUUCAUUUUCUAAAAGAUAAGUGUAUUCUUAUUGUACAGUAGUAUAUAAGUCCUUCUCUUAAUAGUCUCAGUGAAAUAAAAGUCUGGCACUUUUGUUCCAUAGAAUAUAAAAUUAAAGAUGGAAUAAGAAUUUAGCAAGGGUUAGAAUUUUUUUACGUACUCCUAAGAUAAUAUCUAAUAAUUUUAUUGGUCAGAUCACAGGCUUGCAAGUUCUUACUGCUGAUUUUUUAUUGUAUUGGCACAGAUUAUGACCCUUCCAGAAAGACUAAGUAUGGGCUCAAUCUUACUUUUAAAUUUUCUAUUAAUUCAUUUUAGGGUACUCCUGAAAUCUUUUUAUCCAGCUCUCUGUACCAAAGGUAGAUUACUCAUUGCGUUUAUGAAAAACCCUGUUUAAACAACAAAAUGUUGAGCUAAUAUAAAUGAUUAAAGUGUUGAUUUCGAGAAAAUUUCUUUUUUGGUAGCUGUUCAUUUCCCCAGAUAGAGAAACAUAAUCUUAUCAGGUUUGUUUAGAUGUCCGUCAGUAAAAUAAAGUAAAUUAAAGUUUUUCUCUGACCAUUGUAUAGCAAUAACAUGAUCUUCAAACAUUUGAGGAAACACUAAUAAGUCACCCUUUCAAAAUACAAAAAGGGAAAAGGAGCUUUUCUUUUGUUCUUUUAUCUGUCUUUCAUAUUUGUCCAUCCUUUCCUGUUGUCAUAGAAAUGUUUAGUUUCCUCCCCUGUCCUCUCCUUCUGUGCCUCCUAGACUGCCAUCAUGCCAAGCCUACCGUUAGGCAGAAAAGAAACCCAGGCUUUGAAGCUGGUGGAAACAGUCCUAAGCUUUCCCAGAUUCCUCUCCAGCAGCAGCUACAAACUCGACUUAGUGCUUGGCCUUAGGAGUGAAAUGAGUGUCACAUGAGCACUUCUGUCUUUAGUAUCCCUAGUGGGUAUAUUCAGCAUGGGUCUGUGGUGACUACUUGUUAUUUAGGUGAAUACAGUAGAGUGCAUCCAUAACAUGAAUUGUUUCCUAACUAGUCUGAACAGAAGUAUGGUUUUUAUCCUACAGGUGUAUAGUUAUUUUGUUGAAAAUCUAAAUUCUUACUUGAGCAACUGAGCUGCUGAUAGCCCAAAUCACUGUGAGUCAAAGAUGAACUCACAGAAGUCUCCUGAAGGUGUCUUUGAUUUUGAAGUGAAUGAGCUAUUUUAAAUUAAGUUGCCCUUUCUCCGAUGCAGUGGUGUGGAGGUCUGGUGACCCUGGUAUGGCCUGAGCUCUGAGUGCGAGGUUUUGCCUUUAGGUUCCUAUUUUCUGUCCACUCUGUCCCUGUUUGCGUCUGGUAGAAGUCACCUGGCCUCCUUUUUCUUUGCUGUUGACACCCAUUUCCCACCCUAGUCGUAUUGGAGACAACUAAGUUUUUCUGCAGAGAGAGUUACAAGUCAUCUGCUAACUACUGUCUGUACAUGUGUUCUCCAGCAGCUUUGUAGACCUAUUUUUAAAAGUGUGCAGGUGUGGAAAGUGAGUUGAAUGAAUUCAGGGUAAUUGCUGGUUCUUUGUAUUAUUAAAAAAAAAAAAUCACACUAGUUAAGGGAAGUCUGCUUUCAUGAUUUGUGGGUGUUUGAUUAAAAAAAAAUCUUCCAACUCUCCCUCGCUCCUGUUGCCUCUGUACCUCAUAAAUUCCACCAUGGAAGGAAUUAGAGUCAUAGGAGUUUAUGGCUGGAAGGGUUUUAUAGAGCAUCUGAUUAACCCUUUUAUUAUAGUUGAGGAAAUUGGUGUCCAGUGAGGUUAAAUGAGGUCAUGUGGUUAGUGUAAAAGCCCAAAUAACAUUUUAGCAGCUUGUCUCCAUUAGUAAGCACUGUUCUCAUUUAUUUGCCCUAAUAUAUUCAUAAUCAGGAGGUAAUAAUGAGGAAACAUACUAAGGGGCAGAUAGUGCUUUUUAUACAUAUCUCAGUCACUUAGUCAAGAGAGGUCUGGGAAGUGUAGAUACUAUAGUUUCCCUUUGUAGAGAAAAUGGACCCAGGCUCCCAGGGGAAGUGAUUGGCCCACCCCAGGCAUCUUAGCAAAAUGGCCCCAGGUCCCUUGUCUUCCCAUCUUGGCCAAAUCAUCUGCCUGUCCCAUGACCCUUCUGUAGACCACAAGAUAGCGAAUCCCUUCUUCAUAUGUGUUAUGGCUCUGGUUCUAGACUAGAACCAGUUAUUAACUUUUGUCACUGUUUUGUCAAUUGUUAAAAGGAAAACAGUUUUUAAAGACUUGUAUGUAAGCUUUUAAAUGUUUCAAAAGAAAGAUGCUGGGUAGUUGUAAAAAAUACGUUUUCUAAGAAUUCUCUUGCCAGUGUCUUGAAAGUUGAGGUAGAAUGUACUGAGCACCCAGUGUGAGGUGACCCAUAGGGCACCCAUGGGUGCAGCCGUGACUGAGACGAAGCGUGGCCAGCAGGAGAGUGCUGUGCUCUGGCCUCGACCUUCAGACUCACCUGUGGAGAGAACCAGCCCCAAGAAGCCUUCGUCCUCGUUCUCUCCAUGUUUGACAGACACUGUUCCCUGUGUCUAAGAUGGGUCAGCUUCUUCUAAAUAUCGGGACUCACAUUAAAGGAAACUUGUAAGAUAAAGAAAAGCAGGAAAAGUCCAUGAAUUUUUAAUAUGACAAUAUCACAUAGUUUUUUUUCCUGGGUUCUCUUUAACUUGAUGUCUAAUAGUCUCUGUUAUUGUUAGCUUUGAAAACAUGUCUUAAUAGUUACGUAAUUUUAGUAUGGAUCAGUUUCUAAGUAUAUCACUGGCUAUUCUUAUGGCAAUUGAUUAUUGAUAUUAUAUUAUACAAAAUGAAUAAAAAUGACUAAAUUAACCUUGGCUUUAUACAUGCCUUUUAAAAUUAAUAAUAAAUUAAGAUUAUAUUCUAAUCUUUUAAAAACGGCACUCCAAUCACUUAACUUGCUAAAAAUGUUGAUAGACGUAUCAACUUUGUGCAGCUGACCUAAAUUAGAAGUGGUGGUUUUUCAAGUUGUGAAAUUUAUAAAUAAAAUAAAUAUUUUAAGAGGCAGUUUCCAUUAUAGAAUUGUGCUCCUCUGAAAUAGUUUAUUAUUCUAAAGGUGUAGUACUGAUCAUGUUGGAUUUUUACAGUUUGGGAAAUGAUAGCUUUAUCAUUUGAACUACCUUGGCUUUCUCCUUUUUUCAAAGCCCACUUGGAUUCUAAGGUGUGCCACGGGAUGGUGACAGUGGAGCUCAUCCUCACCGUGGUGUCCCUCAAGCUCUGUGUCCUGCUUCUGUGUGGUGAGCGCCACCCCUGGGCAGGAGGCUGAGCUGAGGCAGCAGGUGGUCUUGGGCUGGCCGAGGCCCUGAGAAGUGCUGACACAGGGGAAGGAGGGAGCUGGAGGCUUGGGUGGAAAGUCCCAUGAGAGCUGGUGCUGGGCGCCCUGACCCUGUGGAACCCUCUCCUAGUGAGCAACCGGCCAGAGUUGGGAGGGGCACUCUUGGCGGAUGCCAGUGGGUGAAGGUAGGGUGCCACUGGUGGACUCUGGGGGGACCUGGCCUGGUAGUAAGUGGGCACUACUGUAAAGGAGAGUUUGGCAGUAAGUACGCAAUGAGCGAAUGAGUGGCUGAAUUGCUUUCAUCACCAAAGGGUCUUUUCUGUUCUUAAUUUUUUUUAACUUUUAAUUCUCAAUUUACAAUAGAAAUAGUUAUCAAACUAUUAUUAACUCCAUUAAUUUAAACCCACGCCCUCUUCUGCUCCACAAAUGAUCCAAAAAGACUUGCCAUAGCAGAACAUCAGAAAAGGAGAGUGACAGGGAUGUGAUUUCAGUGCCUUAAUCCUGGGGCCCUCGUCUGUGAUGUAUGUGUGAUGGCACUGCUUUAUGAUGCUGCGGCAGGAAUAAAUGAGACCAUGCAGAGACAUUGCCCAGCAUAUAAUACUAAGGUCACGUUAUUAGAACUAAAGCUGUAAACUCAAGCACACACACUUCAGCUCAAUUUUCUAUUUAUUUUUCACUACCAUUUUAUUAAAGAAUGCUAAUUGAACAAAAUAUUUACAUUCCUGCCUCGACUGGAAUGGAUAUUAUUAUUUUUUUUUAUGGAUAUUAUUCUUUAUAACUCUGUAAGCUCUGUAGAAUGCAAGUUAAUGCUUUCCUUCCUAAAAUUUGAGUUUCUUAACAAUCUUGCACUGCUCAUGGGAAAUUAUUACUCCCUGUAAAUUCUUAGACUCCAUCCAUAUUCACAAGGCAAGGGCCAGGUAGGGUCUGUAUUCUUGUGACUUCCAGAGAAAAGCAAAGGGAGGCUCAUGAUUAGUAGGAAAUAUAGUGAGAACGAGAAGCCCUGGAACUGGGCUAAAAACAGUGAAGAUUCCUAAAAGUAAAAGGAUGGAUCUGGGAAGGUGAAGACUUCAUCUUCAGGUGCAGAACUUUGUGUGGUUAGGUCAUUUCCAUUUCAGAUGAGCUCUCGAUUUGCUUUCUGUAGGAGACUGCUUGUGUUUCUUGUCUUCGAGUGCAUUUCUAAAAUAACAGGAGAGAAGCUGAAUGCUACUGCUGUUACUGCUGCUGCCUGGGCUUCGGGCUCACAGGGACAUGGCUGUUGUUAGCCAUAGGGCUGGACUGAUAGCGUGGAUGGACAUGGGGAGAGGAAGACGAGGUGGCGGUAUUCAUUCCUCUACCUGGAGGAGAGUCCUGAGAGACCGAAAACUAGAAGCAGGGAGGGGAGAGGAAUAACCUCUGCCAAUUACUCAUCAGUGCUUAAAAUCUCACCAGAUAUGGGGAUCUGAUUUAAAGAUUCUGAUCUCUUAAAACUCAGAGAAUUGAUUAUAUGAAUAGAGGCAGGGUGGGGCUUGUGUGGCUGGUUUUUAAGCUGUUCCUAGUUAUGUGUUGCCUGGGGAAAGUAUAUUAUCACAGGGUCAGUUGAAUGAAUUCAAGAUUGGAUCAUUUAGGAUAGCUAAGAAAAUUUUUUAAACUUUGUCCAGGACUGGUCUAAACUGUCCCCACCAGAAGGAACUGGACAAUUAUUCAGAUAGUUAAAAUGAAACUGAAGUCUGUAAGACUAUAAGACCUGACCAGGGUACAAACAACCAGAACUGCACUUUGAGGUAGGAAGACUUCGGGACCUCCUAAACAAAGCAGUAGGAAGUUCACUGUUUUCAACUAGGUAAAUUAUUUUCUGUAUUUCCAAGGAUAUAUAAGACAAAUCAGGGUCCGCUCUGUUGAAUACAACUGGAUCUUAUUCUGUGGUAUUUGUUUUUAAAUCAUGAUUUUUUUAAAGCAAUAGUUUUUAAUCUUCGACAAACUUACUUAGUUCAGUCCUUCUGUAUCUAUCAGUGGUUCUCUGUAGGGAAGGUACAAAAAAAGCAUUGGUUAUCUUUUGCGAAAUGUAUGUGUCCUGCAGCCUCCCCAUCUGUGGAAGAAUUGCAAAAUGUACGGGACAAGAGGGAAAUCCAGGUGUGUAGGCUUGAAAGAAGCUGUCCAGAUAACCUGCUGCCACCCUAUAACUUUGAGAACCAUUGUUCUCUGUGGAGCCUGUACUGCCCAAUGCCCCCAAAAGCAAAUAGUUGAAACAACUAACAUUGAAUUUCACCUACACUGACAAUUGUGUUUGGCUGUAUUGGAAAAAAAUCUGCUUUAGUUUUCACAUAGGUUUCCUCUCUCAGAUCUUGCUAGGAAAGAAACCUACACUUUUGGUCAUGAAGUGUAUCAUACUGAUUCUUCUUAAUUCCAUCUGUGAACUCUUAUGACUAAGAUCUUAAGGUCUUCCAUACUUUGAAGAAUUUUUCAUGUUUGUUUAUAAAAUGCUGAGCAAGAGUUUUUUCAAAGUUGUGCUAGGUUUUGCUAUCUCUUCCACAUGUUCAUGAACUUAUUUGUUAUUCUAGGUUGUUUGCUUAGUAUGUGCUGGUCAAUCACCAUUUAUCAUUUUAAUUUAAAGUUAUUACUGAAAAGUGGUAAGAUUCCAAGGCAAGUGGGGGUCUGUCACUUUGAGAAAAAUUUAUGGGAGUGAAAAUAUUUUCUUUUUGUAAACAGUUACUGAUGUACAGUGACCUCACAGGGAAUAAGCUUUGGUAUUUGUCUUUUAAUUAAAGAGUACCCCGCCUGUCUAGUUGUGAAUAACUUAAAAGAAGUGGGUGUCUUGGUGAGAAGUUCAUGAGGUUGGUAGCUGGAGCUGAGUUUGGAUGACUGACUCCUGUUCUGGUCUGUAGUGGUGUAUGAACGCCAAGUACUAAGAAUCUCUGGAAUGUAGAAUUGCACAGCACUGAUAAAGUUUGCUUUGUUCCCCUGUGUGACUUGACCCAUUGAGAAAGUGUGGUUCCCUAGGAAGUUUUAAUAGUUCAAAGUCCUUAGUUAAUAAAGAAAAGGGCCACAACAUAAUUCAGCUUGUUUUCACCUGCUGCCUCAAAGAUUAACUUUGCUAACCUUAAUGAGAUAGAGUUACCCUUUGCUUUGAAAAAGUCAUUUCUGGAGCGCUUCACAUUUGUCAGUUUCAGUAAACAUGACACUGUUAUGAGGAUUUUGUUUUUGUUUUGGGUUGGCUCACAAACUACUAAAGACUUCUGCAAUUUAAGAGCCUUGUUGUAACUUCAUCUAAAACCAAAUCUCAGGGAAAGGCACACCCACUUUUGUGUAUCAGCUUAAUCUUCCACAGGAUUCAAAAGGGUUUUGAAUUACUUCAGGAAAGUAGGCAGUGAUAGAGUUUAACCUUCAGUUUUCCUCAUUUAUUUUCAUAAGAGAAUAGGAAUGGAAUUCAAAACAUUCAAAUUUGCAGUUACUGUGCGUCACUGUGCUGCCAGUGAUAGGGUCUGUGUUUUUCCAGUGGGAAACUUUGAUCACAGACGAAUACAUGUCUGUUCUAUUCCUCUUUAGUCCCUUCUGUUUUUUCUCCUGAUUGUUGCUUACUUUUUCAAAAAUCAGCUGACUGUACAAGUCCUCUCUGGGAGCAGAUUUCAGAACAAAAGUCAUCUAUAAAAUCAGCACGGGCUUCUGGGCCCCCAUUCCACCGCUCUCAGCCCAGAGGAAGGGGUUUCCAUGCCCCCGUUCCACCGCUCCUAGCCCAGAGGAAGGGGCUUCUGGGCCACUGAUCCACUGCUCCCAGAACAGAGGAGGUGAGCCACACAGGUGCCAACAUCACUCCCUACCCCAGUCAAAAUGAGAAGACACAUAAACAAGUCUAAAAACCAGAUUUCCAGAUCACCUACAGCAACCCCAAAGGGAAAUGAGAUGGAACACUCUGGUGAGUACCACCAGGACUAGCUGAACUGGCAACAAAAGAGGAUCUGGGAAAAAUGAAAUCAGAAAUAAUCACUCAGAUAACAGCAGAGAUUGUGCCCACAGUGUAAGACAUGACUAAUAAAUCUAGAGAGGACACAGAUUAAAAAAACAGAGGAGCUGAGGAACAUGAUGGAAUCCCAACAUAGGAAACAAAUGGAAUCCAUAAAACAGAUGCUAACAGAUUUCCAGGAGAUUUAAAACUCCACUGAAAGUCUAUGUAGCAGAAUGAGCCAAUGUGGGGACAGAAUUUCAGAUAUAGAAGAUAAGAUUGCAAUUAGUGACCAGGAAAAGAAAAAUUGCUUUAAAAUUGUAAAGGAACAUGAGAAAUCAAUCCAGCAGCUGCUAGACUAUGCAAAGAAGAAUAACAUAAGACUGAUCAGAGUCAAUGAAGAAACAGGAGACAGUGCAGAUGACAUAAAAAAACUGUUCACAGAAGUGAUGGGAGAAAACUCCCCAGACAGGGGAAAAGAACUUGAGAUACAGAUAAGUGAGGUAUAUAGGACUCCAACUAGCCUUGAUCAAAAAAAAAUGUACACAUAGGCAUAUUAUUAAGAUUCCAGAAACCCAACAGAAGAACAAAGUUCUACAAGCAGUUAGAGAAAAGAAACAUCACAUACAAAGGAAAGCCCAUCAGAAUCACAGCAGACUUCUCAAUACAAACCAUCAAGGGAAGAAGAGCUUGGAGUGAUGUAUUUCAAGCCCUAAAGGAAAAGAGCCUCCAAUCCAGAUUGAUGUACCCUGCAAAACUAUCUUUCAAAAUUGAUGGAGAAAUAACAUACUUUCAUGACAAAGAGCACCUUAGAAACUUCAUGAAUUCCAAACCAGCACUCCAAAAAAUUUUAGAUAAUAACCUAGGAACAGACAUUGAGGAUCACAACCCCAGGAAGCAAAGCAGAAUGAAUCCAUUGGGCACGACAAGAAAUUAAAUGUAAAAGGGGCGAAUCCAACAAAAAGAAAAAGUCAUGAACUUCAUCUCCCGAAUGAGUGUAUAAUUCAGUCUUGUUAUUGUACUGAUUAGUAUUUUUCUAAUUCUAGUGUUGCACGCCUUUCCUUGUGCUGUACUGGCUAUUUUACCAUCUUCAUGUGUCUACUUUCUAAUUAGGUUGUCUAUUAAUGAACUGUAAGAAUUCUUUAUAUAUUCUGAUCACAGGUUAUAUGCAUUGUAAAUAUGGUCUGUUUAAGGACUACUUUUCAUUUUAACUAUGUCAUUUAAAGUUCUAAAUUUUGAUGGAAUCUCAUUUAUCAGUGUUUUUCUUUUAUACAUCAUGUUUUAUAUUUUUUUCCCAUUAAGUUUAUUGGUACAUUUUAGGUAUAAAAUACAGUUACAUUCAUCAUUGGGAUCUUGUACCAUUACAUGAGUAUCUUGGUUCUUUUUGUUUUUCCCCUUCCCUUGCCCUCCCUUUGCCCCCUCCACCCUUCCCUAUUUGCAAAGACUUUGUUUCCAUUCUUCUCCUUUUCUCAUAUUUUUUCUUUUCCCUUUUUUCCUUUCCCCUACCCCUCCCACUUCCCCUGCUCCUUUAGACCUUUUCACCCUGUUACACAGUAUCAAUUAUACAUUUUUAAAAUUACAAUAUUAAGAUCUAGGAGACAUUGCCACAGAUUUUACAGAAUUUAAAAGGAUAUAGAAAGCAUAUUACAAAAAUCUCUUUUGAAGUAAAUUUGACAACUUCUAAGAAGUACCUUGGAAGACAAAUUAAUGAAACUAACUCUGGAGGAAAUAUAAAAUUUGAAUAGCACCUAUUAAAGAAAGUAUAUUCCUAGCUUGAAAACCUACCUAUAUGACAACAGCAGGCUCAUAUACAUUUUAACUGAAAAAUUAUAUCAAACAAAGCAGAAAAAAGAAGGAACACUUCUCCCCUCAUUUUAGAAACUCAACAUUGUGCUAAUCCUAAAACUGGAUAAGGAUAAUAGAAAAAAAAAGUAUGAACAUAGAUAGAAACUUGUUUAACAAAACAAACUAUUAGAAGUCAGUUCUGGCAAUAUGUAGAAAGUGGUUUUGUUAUAGGGAUGGCAGUGUUGGUUCAGCAUUGGAAGAUACACCCCCAAAAGUCAUCAUUGUAACAGAGGAAAGGAAAAAGCCAUAUGAUCCUGUCACUAGUUGGAGAAAAAGUAUUGGACUAAAUUCUACAGCUGUUCAUGGUAAAAGCUAUUAGGAGGCUAGAAGUAGAACAGAACCUUCUCAACAGAUAAAAGACAUGUACUCCAUACUUCCAGGAAAAACACCUCAUAUGAAUAGAGAAAACAAUGCUUUCACCCUAAGGUGGGGAACAAGGGCAGAUAUGCCUACUCUUCAUCUGUCCAUUAAAUUUUGAAACAUAGGCCCAAACCAAAAUAGUGGCAAUAAAAUGACACAAUUAGGAUAAGAUUGGCAAGGUAGAAGCAAAAUCUUUAUAUGUAGAUGAAAUGAUCAGAGAAAAUGCUAAGAAAUUUCUAGGAGCCCCUAGAACUUGUAUUUGAAUUGCGCAGGAUUAGAAAACACAAGGUAUGUAUAAAAAUUCAGGUCUGUGUAUACUUGCUAUAAAUGAAGAACUGGAUAUUGAAAUUUAAAAGUUUUGUAGGCAUACAAAGGACCUAGAAAAGUUUAAAAAAAAAAAAAGAACCAAAACAAAACCAGUGUUGGAAGACGUUUAGUACCUAAUUUUCAGACUUCUUCUAAAGCUACAGUAAUCAAGGCAGUGUUGGUGUAAGGAAAGACAUAUAGAUCAUUUGAAUAAAACAGAGAAUCUCGAAAUAGAACCACACAUAUAUGGUCCACUGAGAUUUGAAAGAUUAUUUAACAUUACCAUUUUAUAGAAUAUAAACUCAAUUCAAGAGCCGAGGAAGAAAUAGUGUUUUCAGCAAACAGCACUAGAACACCUGGUAUCUGUAUAUAAAAAAUUAACCUCAACCCUUUAUUUCCAUACAUGAAAAUAACUUGAAGGGAUCUAUGAACCAUAAAUAAAGCCUAAAAGUAUAAAACUUGAAGAAAUUAUAAGGGAAAAUGUUUAUGAAUUCAGGGUAGGCAAGAACUACCUAGGAUACAAAAGACAUGAUGUAUAAAAGAAAAAAAUUGAUAAAUGAGAUUCCAUCAAAACUUAGAACUUUAAAUGACAUCAUUAAUAUGAAAAGUAGUCCUUAAACAGACCACAUUUACAAUGCAUAUAACCUAAGAGCAGAAUAUAUAAAGAAUUCUUAGAGCUCAUUAAUAGACAACCUAAUUAAAAAGUAGACAUAAGAAGAUGAUAGCCAGUAUAGCACAAGAAAAGGUGUGUAACUCUAGAAUCAGAAAAACACUAAUCAGUACAAUAAUAAGAUUGAAUUAUACACUCAUUAGGGAGAUGAAGUUAAAAGUUUUAAAAGGCUUGUCAUGACUUUUUUUGUUGGAUUCUCCCCCCUUUGCUUUUAAUUUGUCAUGCCCAUUGGAUUCAUUCUGCUGGGUUUCCUGGGGUUGUGAUCCUCAUUGUCUUUUCCUAGGGUAUUAUCUAAAAUUUAUUUGAGUGCCGGUUUGAUAUUCAUGAAGUUACUGAGGUGCUCUUUAUCAUGAAAAUAUCUUAUUUCUCCAUCAAUUUUGAAAGAUAGUUUUGCAGGGUACAUCAGUCUGGGUUAGAGGCUGUUUUCCUUUAGGGCUUGAAAUACAUCACUCCAAGCUCUUCUUGCCUUGCGGGUCGGGUUUGUGUUGAGAAGUCUGCUGUGAUUCUGAUGGGCUUUCCUUUGUAUGUGAUUUGUUUCUUUUCUCUCACUGCUUGUAGAAUUUCAUUCUUCUGUUGGAUUUCUGGAAUCCUAACUAUUAUAUGCAUAUGUGUAGAUUUUUUUUGAUCAAGGCUGGCUGGAGUCCUAUAUGCCUCACUUAUCUGUAUGUCAAGUUCUUUUCCCCUCCUUGGGAAGUUUUCUGCCAUCACUUCUGUGAACAGUUUUUUUAUGUCAUCUGCACUGUCUCCUGUUUCUUCAUUGACUCUGAUCAGUCUUAUGUUAUUCUUCUUUGCAUAGUCUAGCAGCUGCUGGAUUGAUUUCUCAUGUUCCUUUACAAUUUUAAAGCAAUUUUUCUUUUCCUGGUCACUAAUUGCAAUCUUAUCUUCUAUAUCUGAAAUUCUAUCCUCACAUUGGUUCAUUCUGUUGUGCAGACUUUCAGUGGAGUUUUAAAUCUCCUGGAAAUCUGUUAGCAUCUGUUUUAUGGAUUCCAUUUGUUUCCUAUGUUGGGAUUCCAUCAUGUUCCUCAGCUCCUCUAUUUUUUUAAUCUGUGUCCUCUCUAGAUUUAUUAAUCAUGUCUUGCACCAUGAGCACAAUCUUUGCUGUUAUCUGAGUAAUUAUUUCUGAUUUCAUUUUUCCCAGAUCCUCUUUUGUUGCCAGUUCAGAGAGUCCAGGUGGUUGAGUAUCAGAUUGUUCCAUCUUGUUUCCCGUUGGGGUUGCUGUAGGUGAUCCAGAAGUCUGUUUUUGAAGCUUGUUUACGUGUCUUCUCAUUUCCAUGGAGGGGUUUUCUGUUGCCCACGCAGCUCAGCUUCUCUGCCCUAGGAGCUUGGCAUGGCAGUGGAGGAGCUUCCUUCCGGGUGCUGGGACUGGCUCACCUUCUCUGCCCUAGGAGCUUGGGAUGGUGGCAGGGGAGCUUCCUUCCGGGUGCUGUGCACAUCAUGUUUUCUGUAUCCUAGGAAAUUCUUGCCUACCCUAAAUUCAUAGAUAUUUUCUGUUAUAAUUUCUUCUUAAAGUUUUAUAGUCUUUCAUAUUUAGAUUCAUAGAUCUUCUCAUGUUAUUUUUAUGUAUGAAAAUAAAGAGUUGAGGUUAAUAUUUUAUAUACAGAUACCAGGUGUUCUAGUGCCAUUUGCUGAAAACACUAUCUUUUCCUCUGCUCUUGAAUUGAGUUCAUGUUCUAUAAAAUGUUAAUGUUAAAUAAUCUUUGAAAACUCAGUGGACCAUAUAUGUGUGGUUCUCUUUCUAGAUUCUCUGUUUUAUUCCAAUGAUAUAUAUGUCUUUCCUUACACCAACACUGCCUUGAUUACUGUAGCUUUAGAGGAACUCUUAAAAUUAGGUAGUAAAUGUCUUCCAACACUGUUUUCUUUUACUUUUUACUUUUCCAGGUCCUUUGUACUCCUACAUAACUUUUAAAUUUCAGUAUCCAAUUAUUCUUUUAUAGCAAGUAUACAUAGACCUGAAUUUUUAUUAUACCUUGUGUUUUCUAAUCAUGCGAAAUUCAAAUACAAGUUCUAGGGGCUCGAGAUUUCUUAGUAUUUUCUCUGUAGAUGAUCAUUUCAUCUAUAUAUAAAGAUUUUACUUCUACCUUGCCAAUCCUAUCUUAUUUAUUUAUUUAUUUAUUUAUUUUUGUUGUUGUUGCUUUUUUGGUACUGGGGAUCGAACUCUGGUCCUUGUGCUUAUGCAGCAGGCGACGAAACCACUGAGCUAAAUCCCUGGCCCCAAUCCUACCCUAAUUGUGUCAUUUUAUUGCCAUACUAUUUUGGUUUGGGCCUAUGUUUCAAAGUUUAAUGGACAGAUGAAGAGUAGGCCUAUCUGCCCUUGUUCCCCACCUUAGGGAGAAAGCAUUUUAUCUUCUUCAUUCAUAUAAAGUAUUAUUCUUGGAAGUAUGGAGUACAUGUCUUUUAUCUGUUGAGAAGGUUCUGUUCUACUUCUAGUCUCCUGAUAGCUUUUACCAUGAACAGCUGUAGAAUUUAGUCCAGUACUUUUUCUCCAUCUAUGACAGGGUCAUAUGGCUUUUUCUUUCUGCUUUAAAUGUUUGAUAUAAUUUAUCAGUUAAAACAUAUAUGAGCCUGUUGUUGUCAUAUAGGUAGGUUUUCAAGCUAGGAAUAUACUUUUUUUAAUAGGUGCUAUUCAAAUUUUAUACUUCUUCCAGAGUCAGUUUCAUUAAUUUGUCUUCCAAAGUACUUCUUAGAAGUUGUCAAAUUUACUUCAAAAGAGAUUUUUGUAAUAUGCUUUCUAUAUCCUUUUAAAUUCUGUAAAAUCUGUGUUAAUGUCUUCUCGAUCUUGAUAUUAUAAUUUUAAAAAUGUAUAAUUCUUCCUAUUGUAUAAUAGAAAGAAAAGGUCUAAAGGAGCAGGGGAAGUGGGAGGGGUAGGGGAAAGGAAAGAAGGGAAAAGAAAAAAUAUGAGAAAAGGAAAAAUAUAGAAACAAAGUCUUUGCAAAUAGGGAAGGGUGGAGGGGGUGAAGGGAGGACAGGGGAAGGGGAAAAAAAUAAGAACCAAGAUACUCACGUAAAGAUACAAGAUCCCAAUGAUGAAUGUAACUGUAUUUUAUACCUAAAAUGUACCAAUAAACUUAAUGGAAAAUAAAGUAAAUAUUAAAUUUAGACCCAAUUGCUUGCAUAGUAGUCUUGGCAUAUCAGUAUAUAUCAGUUACUUAAACUAAAACACACUUUUGCUUUAAAAUAUUAGAGGAACUUUUAAUGUUCCUUCCUUCCUUAAUUUAGAAUGUAAGACAGUAGGAAAGCUUAUUUCACAUGAGCCUAAUGACAACAACAAAAAUAUACAAACACAAUGACUCUGGCAUGUGAUUUCAAGGAAGCAUUUGGACUAGCUGGUCUGCAGCAACCACAGACAUUGUUCAAGUGCUUGCUGAGCAGCUCAGUUUGGUUGGGUCAUCAGCCUGUCGAGAUUUUGCCCACAGGCUUAAGGAAACCUUCCUGGAGACAAGUCUCAAAAAUGUUUAAAAUUUCACCUCCAGCCAGGAGAUAUAGAUUAUAUGGGUAAGGAAAAACCUGCUUAAAGCAGAAUGAGAGGAAAGUCAUAUGUCCUCUCUGCCUAAAUUAAAAGGGAGGACAUUGGGGUAGUCCAGAUUUCAAUAGAUAUUAACUUUCAGGCAUAAAUGAAAUAUGUGUUGAUAUUUAUUCCAUUAUUCUAGAGAUGACAUGUAUUGGUCACCUACUAUGUGCCAGUUCUAUGCAAAGGGACAUAACAGAGAACAGAAAUCAAAUCCUUGCAUUUAUGAGACUUACAGGUCAAUAAUGUGUCAUAGUUGAAAUGCCAUGUUUAUUCUAUUGUAUCUGUAAAGUAUCUAAUUUUAUUCAUUGCCUUUUUCAGUCCUUCAAAGCCAAGUGAAUUUAAAUAUUUGAGAACAUUUAUUUCACUAUCUAUGAAAGGUUAUUAGACAAACUUACACAGUAAUGUUAGCCUUUCUAUGCAGCAUUGUUCUUCCACUAUACUGUAACUGGACUGGUUUGUGACAGAGGUAGGUGGUAUUGAUAA
Molecule: long non-coding RNA, 19032 nt
Filed under: Heterocephalus glaber (naked mole-rat)
Lineage: Eukaryota; Metazoa; Chordata; Mammalia; Rodentia; Bathyergidae
Description: lncRNA (ENSHGLG00000036117.1)
Source: RNAcentral